Molecule: ribosomal RNA, 2798 nt
Filed under: human gut metagenome
Description: bacterial LSU rRNA
Rfam family: Bacterial large subunit ribosomal RNA
Source: RNAcentral
AGAGCGUAGGGUGAAUGCCUUGGCAUUAAGAGCCGAAGAAGGACGCGGUUAACUGCGAAAAGCCAUGGGGAGCUGUAAGCAAGCAUUGAUCCAUGGAUAUCCGAAUGGGGAAACCCGGCGGUCGUAAUGGGCCGUCACCGUUACAUGAAUAAAUAGUGUAACGGGGGGAACCCGGUGAACUGAAACAUCUAAGUAGCCGGAGGAAGAGAAAGAAAGAUCGAUUUUCUUAGUAGCGGCGAGCGAACGGGAAAGAGGCCAAACCGGGACUCUACGGAGUACCGGGGUUGAGGACCUGCGGAAUCGAAGUUGGAGAUAGUCGAAGACGGUUGGAAAGCCGAACCGGAGAGGGUAAAAGUCCCGUAGGCGAAAUCGAAGACGAGAGGCGGGUAUCCAGAGUACCACAGGACACGAGUAAUCCGGUGGGAAGCAGGGGGGUCCACCCCCCAAGCCUAAAUACUACUUAAUGACCGAUAGCGUAUAGUACCGUGAGGGAAAGGUGAAAAGAACCCCGGGAGGGGAGUGAAAGAGAACCUGAAACCCUGUGUUUACAAGCAGUGGAAGAACGAUCAAAGUUCGACCAUGUACUUUUUGUAGAACGGACCUGCGAGUUACGUUAUGCAGCGAGGUUAAGAUCUGGGAGGAUCGGAGCCGGAGCGAGAGCGAGUCUGAAUAGGGCGAAGAGUUGCAUGACGUAGACCCGAAACCGGGUGACCUAUCCAUGGCCAGGUUGAAGUGAGAGUAAAAUCUCAUGGAGGACCGAACCAGACGUCUGUUGAAAAAGGCGGGGAUGAGCUGUGGAUAGCGGAGAAAUUCCAAUCGAACCCGGAGAUAGCUGGUUCUCCUCGAAAUAGCUUUAGGGCUAGCCUCGUUUUAGUCUUAUGGAGGUAGAGCACUGAAUUUCCGCGGGGGCGUCAAAGCUUACCAAAGAAUAUCAAACUCCGAAUGCCAUGUAGAUGAUGAAUGGGAGUCAGACUGCACGAGAUAAGUUGGGCAGUCAAAAGGGAAAGAGCCCAGACCACCAGCUAAGGUCCCAAAGUGUGUGUUAAGUGGAAAAGGAUGUGGGAUUUCAAAGACAACUAGGAUGUUGGCUCAGAAGCAGCCACACAUUCAAAGAGUGCGUAAUAGCUCACUAGUCGAGAGGUCCUGCGCCGAAAAUGUCCGGGGCUGAAACACGACACCGAAGCUUAGGAAUGUAGUAAUACAUUGGUAGAGGAGCAUUGUUAGCGCAGCGAAGCUGUACCGAUAAGGAGCAGUGGAGUGCUAAGAAGAGAGAAUGCCGGAAUGAGUAGCGAGAGGAAGGUGAGAAUCCUUCCGGCCGAAUAUCCAAGGUUUCCAGAGUAAAGCUGAUCUGCUCUGGGUAAGUCGGGGCCUAAGGCGAGGUCGAAAGACGUAGUCGAUGGAUAACAGGUGGAGAUUCCUGUACUAUGUGUACCCAGAACUGUGGGGACGCAUGUGGAGAGCAUGAGCCGGGAAAGAGAAGACCGGUACAAGCGGGGUAGGAGUAAGGACAGCAAAUCUUCCUUACAAUCCGAAGACGUAAUGUGGACCGAACCAAAGUAGGGAAGCGUGUGAGCCAUGUGCCAAGAAAAGCCGCUAUUGUGAUACACAUACCCGUACCGUAAACCGACACAGGUGGAUGAGGAGAGAAUCCUAAGGCCGACGGAAGAAGCAUUGUUAAGGAACUCGGCAAAAUGACCCCGUAACUUCGGGAGAAGGGGUGCCCUGUGAAAGCAGGGCCGCAGAGAAUAGGCUCAAGCAACUGUUUAGCAAAAACACAGGUCUAUGCGAAACCGAAAGGUGAGGUAUAUGGGCUGACGCCUGCCCGGUGCUGGAAGGUUAAGAGGAGAGGUUAGCGCAAGCGAAGCUUUGAAUUUAAGCCCCAGUAAACGGCGGCCGUAACUAUAACGGUCCUAAGGUAGCGAAAUUCCUUGUCGGGUAAGUUCCGACCCGCACGAAAGGCGUAAUGAUUUGAGCACUGUCUCGACAAUGCAUCCGGUGAAAUUGAAGUACCAGUGAAGAUGCUGGUUACCUGCGCCAGGACGGAAAGACCCCAUGGAGCUUUACUCCAGCUUGAUACUGGGAUUCGAUACUGUAUGUACAGGAUAGGUGGGAGACGUUGAGCAUAGAACGCCAGUUUUAUGUGAGUCGCUGUUGGGAUACCACCCUUGCAGUAUUGGAUUUCUAACCUGCACCCAUGACCUGGGUGGGGGACAAUGUCUGGCGGGGAGUUUGACUGGGGCGGUCGCCUCCGAAAGGGUAUCGGAGGCGCUCAAAGGUUCCCUCAGAAUGGUUGGAAACCAUUCGAAGAGUGCAAAGGCAGAAGGGAGCUUGACUGCGACACCGACGGGUGGAGCAGGUACGAAAGUAGGACUUAGUGAUCCGGUGGUAUAAAGUGGGAUUGCCAUCGCUCAACGGAUAAAAGCUACCCUGGGGAUAACAGGCUUAUCACUCCCAAGAGUUCACAUCGACGGAGUGGUUUGGCACCUCGAUGUCGGCUCAUCGCAUCCUGGGGCUGUAGCAGGUCCCAAGGGUUGGGCUGUUCGCCCAUUAAAGCGGUACGCGAGCUGGGUUCAGAACGUCGUGAGACAGUUCGGUCCCUAUCCGGCGCGGGCGGAGGAUAUUUGAGAGGAGCUGUCCUUAGUACGAGAGGACCGGGAUGGACGGACCACUGGUGUAUCUGCUGUCGACCAACGGCAUGGCAGAGUAGCCAAGUCCGGAAGGGAUAAACGCUGAAGGCAUCUAAGCGUGAAGCCCCCCUCAAGAUGAGAUAUCCCUCAGAAAUGAGUAAGACCCCUUGA